Molecule: transfer RNA, 80 nt
Filed under: Synechococcus phage S-CBWM1
Lineage: Duplodnaviria; Heunggongvirae; Uroviricota; Caudoviricetes
Rfam family: tRNA
About the family: Transfer RNA (tRNA) molecules are approximately 80 nucleotides in length. Their secondary structure includes four short double-helical elements and three loops (D, anti-codon, and T loops). Further hydrogen bonds mediate the characteristic L-shaped molecular structure. tRNAs have two regions of fundamental functional importance: the anti-codon, which is responsible for specific mRNA codon recognition, and the 3' end, to which the tRNAs corresponding amino acid is attached (by aminoacyl-tRNA synthetases). tRNAs cope with the degeneracy of the genetic code in two manners: having more than one tRNA (with a specific anti-codon) for a particular amino acid; and 'wobble' base-pairing, i.e. permitting non-standard base-pairing at the 3rd anti-codon position.
Source: Rfam by way of RNAcentral
GUGGGUGUGGUGAAAUUGGUAAACACGUAGUCUUGAGGAGGCUAUGCUUCGGCUUGGGGGUUCAAUUCCCCCCACCCAUA